UACGUAGGGUGCAAGCGUUGUCCGGAAUUAUGGGGCGUAAAGAGCUCGUAGGCGGUCUGUCGCGUCGGAUGUGAAAAUCCAGGGCUCAACCCUGGACCUGCAUUCGAUACGGGCAGACUAGAGUUCGGUAGGGGAGACUGGAAUUCCUGGUGUAGCGGUGAAAUGCGCAGAUAUCAGGAGGAACACCGGUGGCGAAGGCGGGUCUCUGGGCCGAAACUGACGCUGAGGAGCGAAAGCGUGGGGAGCAAACAGG
Molecule: ribosomal RNA, 253 nt
Filed under: uncultured bacterium
Lineage: Bacteria
Description: partial 16S ribosomal RNA
Rfam family: Bacterial small subunit ribosomal RNA
Source: RNAcentral